CUACGGGUCGCUCCAGUGGGGAAUAUUGGACAAUGGGGGAAACCCUGAUCCAGCAAUGCCGCGUGUGUGAAGAAGGCCUGCGGGUUGUAAAGCACUUUCGGUUGGGAGGACUGCUUCUAGCACUAAUAUUGUUGGAAGUUGACGUUACCUUCAGAAGAAGCACCGGCUAACUCCGUGCCAGCAGCCGCGGUAAUACGGAGGGUGCAAGCGGUAAUCGGAAUUACUGGGCGUAAAGCGCGCGUAGGCGGCUAGAUCAGUCGGGUGUGAAAGCCCCGGGCUUAACCUGGGAACUGCAUCCGAUACUGUCUAGCUUGAGUACAGGAGAGGAGAGUGGAAUUCCACAUGUAGCGGUGAAAUGCGUAGAUACGUGGAGGAACACCAAUGGCGAAGGCAGCUCUCUGGCCUGAUACUGACGCUGAGGUGCGAAAGCGUGGGGAGCAAACAGGAUUAGAUACCCGUGUAGUC
RNAcentral lists this ribosomal RNA (465 nucleotides) under uncultured bacterium. Its description in RNAcentral is "partial 16S ribosomal RNA". It matches the Rfam family "Bacterial small subunit ribosomal RNA", at positions 339 to 795 of the family's 1533-position model. The record is from RNAcentral.